UUUAACAUUAAUAUAAAAUGAGGUUAUUUUAUAUAUAAAGUCCAUACUACACCAAAUAUAAUAUUAUAUUAUAACUUAAUGUAAUGCACCCUCAUGUAAUAUAUUAUAAUACAAUACAGCUAAUACAGUGUGCCAAAUAUACCCUAAUUGUGUGUUUAUAUUUGCCACAUGGAAUUAGAUAACAUUGCAUUAACUAAUGCAUGCUUGGUAGAUUUUGAAAGCUGCAUUACUUUUGGUGCGUUAGGCAAACCUAAAUUGACUCUAUUGUGUUCUCUCACUUCGUUACUGAGAUUAUCUGCCAUAUUUGUAACCUGAGUGAAGAAGAAGGUUGUCAUCUGACUGUGCUCCUCCUCCUCGUAUGCAGCUCACUUCUUUAUUCUCUGUCUCAAUCUUCAUCUCUUUCACCUGUAACUUGAUGGACCCAGUAUUGCCAUCACUGCCCAUUAUCUCGCUAUUGCCGUCUAUUAAGAAAGUUGUGUAACUUAUAACUUUGUCAAUCGAGAGCAAUGAGUAGGUUAGACAAGUACUGUUGGCCCAAAAUUCUAUCUUGUUAUUUUGUUUAAUUAGUCUCGCUUAGUUGUUUACCUUGGACUCUCAGCUUCUCUCCAAAAAGUUAUUAUUAUUACUAUUAUUUUAUUUAAGAAAGUUAUGUUCAAUUUGUGUUGUAAAGUUGAUCUUGGACCUAGUUUCAGUGCACCAACUGCGUCACACGACCAUAAUUCUCCACGUGUAUUCAUGCAGAAUGGUUCCACAAUUUCUGCAAAUUACCAUGCUGUAAUGUCAUCAAUUUUGCAUUGAUCACAUGAUGUUAUGAACAUGCUUACAUUAAGUAGAUUGGAUUAUUUCAGAACUUCACAGGAAUAUAAACAACCAGAAACAUAAAAUAAAACCAAGUUCACAUAACAAACAUGUUAUAACUCCGAGCAUCAAACAAAUAUAUUUUUAUUGUACAAACCCAGAAGCCAAGAACUAAUGCAACGGAAAUCUUCUGAAAUUACUCAAUAAAUCCUUAUUUUAAUAAAUUCUUUCAUAAUGCCAAUAAAUUAGAACAAUCUAUAAAAUAUAUGAGCAAAUACUCCAACAAAUUAAACUGACAAUUGCAAACAAAAUUUACGAGAGUAUUGACCGCGGGGAAGGGAUAAUGAAAAAAUAUCCCUCAUGAUGGGACCAAAAAAAAAAAGUCUUUCAACUUAUAAUAAGAAGUGAUCCACCGAGGGAGGAGAAAGAGAGAAUUAACUUCGUCGUCAACUGUCGUCAUUUUCGUCUUCACUCAUGUUACAAAUAUGGCAGCAAACCAGAGAAGAAAUUAAAAUGGAAAGAAAGGAAAAGAAUUUGGAUGAUAAUUGAGAGAGAGAACAAGAAUAUAAUCACAAACCAAUUAAUUGUCUGUCUUUCAUGUUUAGAAAUUUGAAAAUAUUGCGGGGCAAAAAAUAAGUGAGAAAUUAAAUUUAAUUUGACUCUAAAUUUUUUAACACACAGUCCCUCGUGUCUUUCAACUAUUAGUAGGUGGUUUCACAUAAAAUUAUGACACGAAACUUUUAAAAAAAUUUAUUUUAAGGAGUUGAGAUCCAAAUUAAGUUUUGAAAUCAUAAAUAGAGAGAGAGGUGUGAGUGUAAGUAUAAGCAAAUUAUAGAUUAAUCAUUUAAAGGUAAAACCCCAAAUUAAUAAUUAGAGUAACACAGAGUUGUGAAGGUUAAAUGAUUGAUCUCAGAGAUGUUGUCCCACUUCCUCACUGAUCAUCAUGUGUUUGGUUUUGGCUUUUUGAAUUAUAUAGUCAAAGCCAUGCAUGGAUGCCAGGCCGUCACCACCACCAUCAUCAUCAUUAAUUAUUACAGGUUUUAAUGGAAUGGAAUGACUUGUUGCUCAAGCCGAUGGCAGUAGGCAAAAGCGUUUUGAGAGUUUGUCGAUUUCUCAACGUGGGCAUUUGUAAGAACAUCCAUUAAGAGCAUUCCUCGAGUUGCUAAUCAAUUGAUAAUGUAAUUGCCAGUGGAAGGUAAAUAAUUGCCAUUAACCUUCUUUUUUACCUUUUUGGUGUUGUGUGUGUACGGGGGGGUGUGACUGUGUGUACAAUUUUUGGCUUCUCAUCAUUUCCCAUCCAACUGUAUUAUAAGCCUGUAAAAAAAUGUAAUCAGUCAUUCAUUUGGAUGUUCAUGUACCCAUGAAAAGUUGUUGCGUAUGUUGGUUCUCCGGGCCUGCCCGAGGCUAGCGAGUGAGCCCAAUUUUGAUUGUUUUAGAUCUAAGAAGUGGGUUGAUGUUAAAACUUAGCUACAACGAACGACAAAUAUCACACCAUUACCGUUUUGUUUUCUUAUGGGCAGGGGCACUAAUAAGCAAAAGUGAAAAGAAAUGUAAAAGUGCCAAAUAUUUCUUUGCCAUUACAUUUGCAGUCUGUUAGUAGCCGGUGACCUGGUCGCGCACUUUUUUUUUUUUAAGUUUGUUAUAUAUAGAUAUUACUGACAUUACAUCAAAUAUUACAAUUAAUAUUUACAAUCAUACUGUAUAACUGGGACUACCACCAUACAUUGACACACUGAAGUAUAUACCCAUAUAUUUUAACCCUCUCUAAUAUUCGAGACACUGAAGUAUAUGUCCAGAUAUUUUAAACCUUCUCUAAUACUCGAGGGGUGCCUGCUCCACUCACAUUUCGUAAGGGAGAGACUGUCUCCACUCAAUUAAUUGAUAAUUGAGAAAGAACUGAAAUUAACCUCUAUAAUACUCUUAUGGAGGUUCGAACUCUUGCACUCAACAUUGUAAGUGCAAGGCUUCUCCAAUUGGACCAAAGGCCCGUUAGUACCUGGUCGAGCACUUAAAUGAUGCAAACAUUAUUAAAACUUUGAUCUGUGUGCGUGUUUAUGGGAAGAGUGCUGAACAGAAAUUGACUUUUAACGAAGACAGAGGAGCAGAUUUUAGGAUCUUGGUGGUAUUGUUUUGUUAGGAAUUCAAGAAAUAGAAAAAUUGCGCAUGAGCUUGCUUCAUUCAACUAGAAAGGAAAAGUCCCAAAUGUAAAAGCAAAUGCGAAAGGGGAAAAAAAAAUAAAAACACAACUGUGUAAUGAUAAAUUAAAGUGGCAGGUAACUAUCUAGUGUAACUUUAUUUCUGUUUUUAAACUUUGGGGGGAAAAAAAGGGGGGGAAAAAGGUUGAGAGUCGGAUACUUGGAUACUGGCUGGAGCUGGACAAGAGUCAAGACUCCUCUUUAGCCUUGGCUUUGCCCUUGCACUCACAAUCCCACAUCCAUCAAUUUGAAAUGACACCCAUCUCUCUCUCCCCACUCCGCAUCUCGAGCCUUUUUAUACGCUGGAAAAUACAAAGUUUAAUUACCUCUAACGUGGCUGGCAUUGGCAAAUGGCAACGACACAGUACAAAUAAAUAAUCAUAUACACACGUAUUGCUGAAAGAGGCAAUUGAAAGGGAAAAGAGCAAAACUUACUUUUAUGGACUGACAGAGAGAGAGGGGUUGAUGCAGAAACCAGAACUGCACAGGAAAAUCAAAUUAGUCAUCGGAAAAUGAGGGAAAAAGCUUAUAUGUAGGCGACGCCCAUUAUGUAGUCCCUCUCAAAAGAAAUGAUACUAUUACUAUGUAAAUAAUUAACAAUAAUAAAGGAAAGAAUAAUAAUAGGUUUCGUGUAAGCUUUUGCUUUUCAUAUCUUUGGACGCUGUAAAAUGAAAUCCUUCUGUUGCAGCUCCUGCUUUUCACAUUUUUGGCACUUGCAGGUUUCCGAAGCUUUUCCAGAUGCUGCCGCUGCACUGCAUGCAGGAACCUUUUGUUUGUUGCUUUAGUUGUCAUCAUCUUUUAGAUAAAAAACCGUUCAGUGGAGCAAGGGUUGAUUACACAAUAAAUUAACCUAAGUUAAUUACACAUGUUUAAUUGAAAUUAACUAAUACAUAAGCCAUAAAAAUACAAGACUUUGAGAUUUGAUUAUUUUGGCAUUAAUUAGUGAAAAAGAGAUCAUGACAACGACAAUGUUAAAGAAAACGACUCUUGUGGAAAACAAUCCUGCCGUUGGGCGUUGAUAUUUAAUGCCGGCAUUGCUUAAACGAUUGGGAAAAUGUGUGUUUAAUUUGCUAAAUAGAUAUUUAUGCAAAUGGCAGAAUUUUAAUUUUAAUUUUAUUUAUUUAUUCUUGUUAAAAGGUAGGAGAGUGAGACAAAACAUCAUAUCCAUUUUUAGACCCUGUUCCGGUAUUCCUUUAGGAUUUGAAUUUAUAGUAUUUAAUAAACAUUACUCGGCCAAACAUUGAGAAUUGCCAAUGACACAAAUUGUUUACAGGGGUGGUGAAAUUUUAAUUCGCAUUUCUUUAGGCCUCGACUUAAAUUUCUUUUGGUAACAUCAACAUUAUGGAUUAUGGAAUUCUAUAUAAUCUCCCGCAGUCCAAUCUAUGCAACUACUCGCAGACAAAAUAAAAUAUCCGAAAGAAUUCAAGAGCCUAAAGGUAAUGUCUUGAAGAGGUCACGUUCACCAUCAAACUAUUUCAAUAGAUGGAGCCAAUUGAUCACGGAAGAUUUCGUUUUGAGUGGUAAAUUAUUGAGACAGUCCAUAAAUAAUACGUCGGUGUCUUAUAGAGUUCUUUUCUCUGCUCGAUUAUAUAAGAUUAUUAUUAAUAUUUGAGAAUUGAAAGAAAAUUGAAAUUGACUCUCAUAAUAUUUUUAUAGAGACUCGAACCAUUUUUUAUAAAUACUCGAACCCUUAUUCUCACUAUUAUAAAUGCAAAGACUCUCCUACUAGAUCAAAAACCCAUUGAUAAUUGAAAUUCGCUUAUUGAUUGAUGAUUCUUUCUUUUGCUGAAUUGUUAUAGUUAAGGAAAUUUUAAGGACGGGUACACAUAAAUUUUGAAGACUUGUUUGCUUAUCUUUUUGGGUCAAGCUUUAGCUAUAUAUAAUGAACUGAAGCGCAAAUUUCAUAUAGUCCAUAGAUUCGAAUAAGGGGACACUUUCCUAUUCUAUUUGUUUAUCAUUUGAAUUGAAAUUUUAAAAAGGUAUUUUGACUCGUCCACAGGCAAUGAAUUUUGGACCUACUGUACCAACCAAAAAUGCAAAUAAUAUAUACACCCAUCUUUUGCUGCGUACUGUGUACAUUAACUUCUAGGGACUUUCAAAAUAUAGGGCAUUGAUUCAGUAUCAUUGUCCAAAUAGAAAACCAAUAUUAUAAUACA
RNAcentral lists this long non-coding RNA (5149 nucleotides) under Citrus x clementina. RNAcentral's name for it is "Citrus clementina (C. clementina) long non-coding RNA (CCLE_LNC001301)". The record is from RNAcentral. Lineage: Eukaryota; Viridiplantae; Streptophyta; Magnoliopsida; Sapindales; Rutaceae.